AAUGUAUGAUGAUAGCAGUUUCGGUCCCAAAUGAACGAACUGUGAUUAGAAUGAGAUCAUCUGAUGUU
This is a small nucleolar RNA of Anguilla rostrata (American eel), 68 nucleotides long. RefSeq annotates it as small nucleolar RNA SNORD73. The transcript has a single exon. The record is from RefSeq and is a predicted model, not a curated record. Lineage: Eukaryota; Metazoa; Chordata; Actinopteri; Anguilliformes; Anguillidae.